This 111-nucleotide small nucleolar RNA is filed under the name Hucho hucho (huchen). RNAcentral's name for it is "Small nucleolar RNA SNORA63 (ENSHHUG00000019681.1)". Lineage: Eukaryota; Metazoa; Chordata; Actinopteri; Salmoniformes; Salmonidae. The record is from RNAcentral.
AAGCAGGAUACGUUUCAGUGCUGCUUUUCCGUUCCCCCUGCACACAUAAACUAGUUUCCUACUAUCCCUGUCUGCAACCCACGGCAGGCAGGGACGCUUGGUCUCAGACAC